GGGGAAUCUUCCGCAAUGGACGAAAGUCUGACGGAGCAACGCCGCGUGAGUGAUGACGGCCUUCGGGUUGUAAAGCUCUGUUAAUCGGGACGAAUGGUUCUUGUGCGAAUAGUGCGAGGAUUUGACGGUACCGGAAUAGAAAGCCACGGCUAACUACGUGCCAGCAGCCGCGGUAAUACGUAGGUGGCAAGCGUUGUCCGGAAUUAUUGGGCGUAAAGCGCGCGCAGGCGGAUUGGUCAGUCUGUCUUAAAAGUUCGGGGCUUAACCCCGUGAUGGGAUGGAAACUGCCAAUCUAGAGUAUCGGAGAGGAAAGUGGAAUUCCUAGUGUAGCGGUGAAAUGCGUAGAUAUUAGGAAGAACACCAGUGGCGAAGGCGACUUUCUGGACGAAAACUGACGCUGAGGCGCGAAAGCCAGGGGAGCGAACGGGAUUAGAUACCCCGGUAGUCCUGGCCGUAAACGAUGGGUACUAGGUGUAGGAGGUAUCGACCCCUUCUGAAAAGGAGUUAACGCAAUAAGUACCCCGCCUGGGGAGUACGACCGCAAGGUUG
Molecule: ribosomal RNA, 549 nt
Filed under: uncultured bacterium
Lineage: Bacteria
Description: bacterial SSU rRNA
Rfam family: Bacterial small subunit ribosomal RNA
Source: RNAcentral